CCUACGGGUGGCAGCAGUCGAGAAUCUUUCACAAUGGGGGAAACCCUGAUGGUGCGACGCCGCGUGGGGGAAUGAAGGUCUUCGGAUUGUAAACCCCUGUCAUGUGGGAGCAAAUUAAAAAGAUAGUCCCACAAGAGGAAGAGACGGCUAACUCUGUUCCAGCAGCCGCGGUAAUACAGAGGUCGCAAGCGUGUUUCGGAGUCACUGGGCGUAAGGCGUGCGUAGGCUGUUUCGUAAGUCGUGUGUGAAAGGCGCGGGCUCAACCCGCGGACGGCACAUGAUACUGCGAGACUAGAGUGAGGGAGGGGGAAGCGGAAUGCUCGGUGUAGCAGUGAAAUGCGUAGAUAUCGAGAGGAACACUCGUGGCGAAGGCGGGUUCCUGGACAUUAACUGACGCUGAGGCACGAAGGCCAGGGGAGCGAAAGGGAUUAGAUACCCCUGUAGUC
RNAcentral lists this ribosomal RNA (446 nucleotides) under uncultured bacterium. RNAcentral describes it as "partial 16S ribosomal RNA". It matches the Rfam family "Bacterial small subunit ribosomal RNA", at positions 338 to 795 of the family's 1533-position model. The record is from RNAcentral.